GGCUGGUCUGAAGGUCAGGAGUUACCUCAACUGAUUGUUCACAGUCAGUUACAGAUCAAACUCCUUGUUCUACCCUUUCCCCACUUCUCACUACUGCACUUUACUAGUCUUUA
Colobus angolensis palliatus is the source of this 113-nucleotide unclassified non-coding RNA. It matches the Rfam family "Y RNA". Rfam says of the family: Y RNAs are components of the Ro ribonucleoprotein particle (Ro RNP), in association with Ro60 and La proteins. The Y RNAs and Ro60 and La proteins are well conserved, but the function of the Ro RNP is not known. In humans the RNA component can be one of four small RNAs -- hY1, hY3, hY4 and hY5. The record is from Ensembl. NCBI's taxonomy places the organism in Eukaryota, Metazoa, Chordata, Mammalia, Primates, Cercopithecidae.